GCUCUAAGGUGGUCUAAAGAAUAACAGCCAUAGUUGCACCACUUUGGAACUUAGAAAAGCCAAUUCUUGGGCCCCAUCCCAGACCUACUAAAAUCUCUGGGGUUCACCCAGGGGUCCUUAGCAAGCUUUCCAGGUGACUUUUCAGCAUGCCAAAACUUGAAACCUCUGCAGUGCUGAGCGACUUAUUUGCAUUUCUAAAAAGCAACAGGUGUUGCUGAUGUCCGUGGAAGGCAGAUCAGCCUUUAAGUAGCACCUCUGAAAUUCUCUGUUCCCUGAGAUGUUGAAGCAAACAAUUCAGAGCUUUGAAGAGUGUGCACUAAGUUUUCCUCCUCUUCAGAGGUUCUCUGCUAGUCUUGGUGAGGAGCUGAUGUCACCGUGAAGGGAUUUAGUGCUUUUCUAGCUAUGAGAAGAUACAAGGAUUGGGCUCAUAAAAUUAGUUCCUGAAAAUGCCUAUCUAAAGACCUGUUCGGCCUUGAAGGUCCCUGCUCCUUUCUCCUUGGAAUAGAUUUUGUUUGCGUCCUCCAAGAGUCUCUGUUUCCCUCAGUCCUGUGGAAGUUCUGUAAUGAAAUCCUGCUGACCUUCAGAGUCAGAUUCCCUGGGGAUUCUCAGUCCUUUUGCCAGAUCCCUGGAUUGGAAAGUCUUUUGUGGGGCCUAGAACUUUCGCAAGAGUGCGAGGACUUCUUUGGUGUGAUUGUUCUCCAGUUUUGGAUAGCCCACCUGGCGGGCCUGUUGUGGAGCUAAUGGCAACCUCCUCCAAGAGGACUAUUGCCUCCACCUGCUGCACCUCUCAGAAUCGCUGCAGCCAGAGCCCCUGUCCCCGCGGCAGGCCACUGCUGACCCGUGCCUCCACAGGAGACCCUCAAACACAGGCAGAUCUGGUUGAGUCUUUCGUGAGGGUCACUGCACCUUUCUCUGGGUCCUGGUGACCACAAGGUUUUGUUUGUGCCUGCCAAGCAUCUCUGGCGGGUAUGAAGUUUGAUUUUAAAUGUGAUUGUACCCCUCCUACUCUAACAGGAGGGAAAGGGGUAGGGCACAACUUUUGAAAGAAUGACAUAGCCCAAGGAUACAACAUAAACUGAUUAGAAUCAAAUGGGACUACGAUGGCAGGCAAGACUAGACCUUGAUCCUGAGUCAGCAAGUGAAAUGACACACCCAGAGGUGGCAUGACAGUUCCAAGGC
This is a long non-coding RNA of Bos taurus (domestic cattle), 1179 nucleotides long. The record is from Ensembl. NCBI's taxonomy places the organism in Eukaryota, Metazoa, Chordata, Mammalia, Artiodactyla, Bovidae.